This 230-nucleotide long non-coding RNA is filed under the name Ananas comosus (pineapple). Its description in RNAcentral is "long non-coding RNA (ACOM_LNC031751)". Lineage: Eukaryota; Viridiplantae; Streptophyta; Magnoliopsida; Poales; Bromeliaceae. The record is from RNAcentral.
AGAACUAUUGUAAUUAAAUCUUUUUAUAUCAAGAAAAUAAAAAAAACACUUUUGAGGCUUUCUUUUCUUUCCCUUUCCUUUAUUGACAUUUCUUAAACAAGUCCCAUCUCACCACUCCAAAAAUCCUAUCCAAACUAGUCUCAAAUUUUAUUUCCCCCAAAAGAUGGGUUUUAGAUCAUGACAUUUUAAAAGACGGCAGUUCGAAUCUCAGACCUCUCGAUCGGCUUUUC